GCUGGCGUAGCUUAAGCCAAAGCAUGACACUGAAGAUGUUAAGAUGAAUUCUGAUAACAUUCCGCAGGCA
RNAcentral lists this transfer RNA (70 nucleotides) under Noturus flavus (stonecat). Its description in RNAcentral is "tRNA-Phe". It matches the Rfam family "tRNA". Rfam says of the family: Transfer RNA (tRNA) molecules are approximately 80 nucleotides in length. Their secondary structure includes four short double-helical elements and three loops (D, anti-codon, and T loops). Lineage: Eukaryota; Metazoa; Chordata; Actinopteri; Siluriformes; Ictaluridae. The record is from RNAcentral.